RNAcentral lists this ribosomal RNA (435 nucleotides) under Conus pennaceus. RNAcentral describes it as "partial 16S ribosomal RNA". It matches the Rfam family "Bacterial large subunit ribosomal RNA", at positions 1973 to 2618 of the family's 2925-position model. Lineage: Eukaryota; Metazoa; Mollusca; Gastropoda; Neogastropoda; Conidae. The record is from RNAcentral.
CUUAUAAUUGAAGGCUGGAAUGAACGGUUUGACAAGAAUACACCUGUCUCUUUUAGAUUUAUUAGAAUUUUAUUUCUGGGUGAAAAAGCCCAGAUAUGAUUAAAAGACAAGAAGACCCUAUCGAGCUUUAGGAAAAUUAAUAGAAUUAAUUUAGGCUAAUAUAGGUAAAAGGAAGACUAUUAAAAUACUUUGGUUGGGGCAACCGAGGAGUAAGCAAAGCCUCCUUUAAGUAGUAAAUCUUACUUGUAUUGAUCCAAAAUUUUUGAUCAAAGGAAUUAGUUACCGUAGGGAUAACAGCAUUAUCUUUUUCAAGAGCCCAUAUCGAAAAAAAGGUUUGUGACCUCGAUGUUGGACCAGAAUAUCCUAAAGAUGCAGAAGUCUUUAAGGGUUGGUCUGUUCGACCAUUAAAAUUCUACGUGAUCUGAGUUCAGACCG